Long non-coding RNA from Bombus huntii, 602 nucleotides. RefSeq lists it as uncharacterized. The transcript has 2 exons. The record is from RefSeq and is a predicted model, not a curated record. NCBI's taxonomy places the organism in Eukaryota, Metazoa, Arthropoda, Insecta, Hymenoptera, Apidae.
AUAAACGUUAAAUACAGAUAGCAAGUACAUGGCGUAGUAUCGAACAAUAAGAUUAUUGAACUUCGCAUGCUUUUUAACGCUACAACUACAGAUAGUUAACACGAAGCUGUUUCCAAAACCAGUCAAAAUGGCUGGUCCUUAAAAAAUACGUAAUAAUGGAAUAUUUGUAUAUUUAUUGAUUUAUUACUUUCUUACAGAAGCACUUCCAUGUUAUGUAAUACAUUUUUGGUAUUAUUAAUGACACGUUUAUAAAAUUGUAGAAACAGUCGUUUUGAAUGGUGCGGAAUUUUUAGGGGUUGGCAUCUAGCGAUCUAGCGAUCGAUCCGGAAUUUUCCUGAUAACCGAUAUCAUCAUAUGGAAUGAUACGCGGUAAAAAUUUUGAAAACGUGCGGGAAGUUGUAGAAAACGAGGAAACUGGUUAAUUGGGGUUCGAUAAACAGAUUGCAGGAUCCUUUUACACUUUGAGAAGAACCGGUCAUUUUGACUGGUAUUGGUACAAUUAUCGUUGCGGAACUCGUUACAUCAUUGCGGAAAAAAAAUACAACACGAAGCAUGUAUAUGUAUAUUGAGAAUAAAAUUGUAAAACCAAUCGAUUCGACUGG